Triticum dicoccoides is the source of this 483-nucleotide long non-coding RNA. RefSeq lists it as uncharacterized. NCBI's taxonomy places the organism in Eukaryota, Viridiplantae, Streptophyta, Magnoliopsida, Poales, Poaceae. The transcript has 3 exons. The record is from RefSeq and is a predicted model, not a curated record.
UAACUUUAGGAAAAAAAUGUUCGAAGUCCUCUGCCCAAACAACAGAACCGACUUGAUUGCUGACGAAGCUCAGCUUGUAAUCAAGAAUUUCAAAGCUUCUUUCAGGCUGGCAUACAACAGAUCACAAGUAAAUGUGACUGACAUGGGCGUGUCUUUCUGGAGUGUGUGCUCUUCAAAAUAAAGAGAGCAUGCAAAGAGCCUGCGCGAGAGUCUAACUUACUACAUGGUCGCUCACCCUUGCAAUGAAAACCUGAUGCCAGAAACCAAACAAAUCUUAAGAAAAUAUGGUGUUCCAUUCGACUACUCGGUACGUGUGACUAAACGAAAAUUUUAUUUCAUUUCCUCUGUCUUUUUUGCAAACAGAUUUAUUUCUCUUUACAGUUUUUCCAAGGUUGUAUGUAUUCCCCUGUGAUUUCUAACCUUUUCUUUUUCUUUUCCCAUGAACAUAAAUCUCACAUACUCCAGGGUAUUCUCCAUGGGGUC